CCUUCGGGUGACGAGUNNNGUGGCGAACGGGUGAGUAACACGUGGGCAAUCUGCCCCUGGGUUGGGGAUAACACUUCCAACGAGGUGCUAAUACCGAAUGAUAAGGCGAGUUGAUGACUCGUUUUUAAAGGUGGCCUCUACUUGUAAGCUGCCGCCUAGGGAUGGGCCCGCGUCGUAUUAGCUUGUUGGUAGGGUAAUGGCCUACCAAGGCGACGAUGCGUAGCCGGCCUGAGAGGGUGAACGGCCACACUGGCGCUGAGAUAAGGGCCAGUCUCCUACGGGAGCCAGCAGUCUAGAAAUUUGCACAAUCGCCGAAAGGCGGAUGCAGCGACACCACGUGGAGGAUGAAGCCCCUCGGGGUGUAAACUCCUGUCAGAAGGGAAGAAGGCGCGGGCGUUAAUACCGCUCGUUGCUUGACGGUACCUUCAGAGGAAGCUCCGGCUAACUACGUGCCAGCAGCCGCGGUAAUACGUAGGGAGCGAGCGUUGUUCGGAUUUACUGGGCGUAAAGGGCACGUAGGCGGGUAUGCAAGUCGGUUGUGAAAUCCUCUGGCUCAACCAGAGAACUGCAGCCGAAACUGCAUACCUUGAGUCCAGCAGAGGGAAUCGGAAUCCUAGGUGUAGCGGUGAAAUGCGUAGAUAUCUGGGAGAACAUCAGUGGCGAAGGCGGAUUCCUGGGCUGGUACUGACGCUGAGGUGCGAAAGCUAAGGGAGCGAACAGGAUUAGAUACCCUGGUAGUCUUAGCCGUAAACGAUGGGUACUA
RNAcentral lists this ribosomal RNA (763 nucleotides) under uncultured bacterium. RNAcentral describes it as "bacterial SSU rRNA". It matches the Rfam family "Bacterial small subunit ribosomal RNA", at positions 77 to 818 of the family's 1533-position model. The record is from RNAcentral.